AAAAAAAAUGAAAAUAUAGUCUUUAUAUUGGCUCCUCGUUAAUUAUUCAUACAUGGUAACAUACAUGGAUAUUGUACAAACUAACUCUUCUCAACCUUAACUUUUGCCGAGUAAUUCCAGCAGCAUUAUAUCAACGUCUCCUAUCUGUGAUGUAAACCAGUUCCAGCGAAAGUUGUUUGCUUGAUAACUGGAUUUUUUUUUUUUUUUGGCUUCUGA
Molecule: unclassified non-coding RNA, 216 nt
Filed under: Hevea brasiliensis (rubber tree)
Lineage: Eukaryota; Viridiplantae; Streptophyta; Magnoliopsida; Malpighiales; Euphorbiaceae
Source: RNAcentral